Molecule: ribosomal RNA, 753 nt
Filed under: uncultured Candidatus Poseidoniales archaeon
Lineage: Archaea; Methanobacteriati; Thermoplasmatota; Candidatus Poseidoniia; Candidatus Poseidoniales
Description: bacterial SSU rRNA
Rfam family: Archaeal small subunit ribosomal RNA
Source: RNAcentral
GGGUAACCUGCCCUAUGCUGGGGAAUAACCUCGGGAAACUGAGAAUAAUGCCCCAUAGCCCACUACGCCUGGAACGGUGAGUGGGUCAAAGCUUCGGCGGCAUAGGAUGGGCCUGCGCCGUAUCAGGUUGUAGGGGGUGUAAAGUACCCUCUAGCCAUCAACGCGUACGGGUGUUGGGAGACAUUGCCCGGAGAUGGAUUCUGAGACACGAAUCCAGACCCUACGGGGUGCAGCAGGCGCGAAAACUUGGCAAUGCGAGCAAUCGUGACCAGGGAACUCCAAGUGCUUAGGGUAAGACCUAAGCUUUUCUUGACUCUUCAAAGGUCUUGGAAUAAGGGGUGGGUAAGGACGGUGCCAGCCGCCGCGGUAAUACCGGCGCCUCAAGUGGUAGUCGCUUUUAUUGGGCCUAAAACGUCCGUAGCCGGUCUGGUGCAUUCGUGGGUAAAUCAACCCGCUCAACGGGUUGAAUUCUGCGAGCACGGCCAGACUUGGGACCGGGAGAGGUGUGGGGUACUCUCAGGGUAGGGGUAAAAUCCUGUCAUCCUGAGAGGACCACCUGUUGCGAAGGCGCCACACUAGAACGGAUCCGACGGUCAGGGACGAAACCUAGGGGCACGAACCGGAUUAGAUACCCGGGUAGUCCUAGGUGUAAACGCUGUGGACUUGAUGUUGGGGGCGCUCCGAGCGCUUUCAGUGUCGAAGCGAAGGUGAUAAGUCCACUGCCUGGAGAGUACGGUCGCAAGGCUGAUACUU